This is a long non-coding RNA of Nematostella vectensis (starlet sea anemone), 766 nucleotides long. RefSeq lists it as uncharacterized. The transcript has 2 exons. The record is from RefSeq and is a predicted model, not a curated record. NCBI's taxonomy places the organism in Eukaryota, Metazoa, Cnidaria, Anthozoa, Actiniaria, Edwardsiidae.
AUGAGAAUACCAAAGAAAUACAGUAUUCUGAAUUAACUACAGGAACUUCUUAAUUUUACUCAACAUGCACAAUGUCUUGCUAAAGUAUAUGGCAGUAAUCAUGAUUUCUGAUCACUUGGGGGAAAGAUGGAAAAACAAAGUAUCAACAUCUAGUCAGCGGCUAAUCCGCGCAUACCUGGGAGCGGAAACUGAUUUCAAGAUGGCGGACGAAAGGGAAACGAUCAAUCGAUCUUGAAAUCGCCUUGCUUGCACGAUCCGUUAAGGGGUUUCACCCAGGGAAGCGGGAGGACUGAGGACAAAGCUGUGUGUGUGGGGAUCGCAGGGAUCGCGUUUAUGAUAUACAGGUGCACUUCCAGCUCUUGCUUCUCCCUGUUUGACACAAUCAUCUCCAACCUGAGCUAAUUCUUUGCGCAUAUCCGGAGGUAAGUUGUGGCCCUUCUCGCUUUCCUUGACUUGGUAAUAGCGGUUAACUAGUCUCCGCCUGCUUAUGAGUAUCCACUCCAAGUAGCGCUCUCCGAAUUGAAGUAGAUUGUCUCUCGCACACUCCGACACAUUCUGGCCUGAGGAUUGUCUCAGAGCUAGGAUAAAGAAUAUUGAUUUAAAACUUUGUUAUUUAGGUAGAUUUAUAUGGUCGCUGAAUCAUCGUAUGGCAUAAAGUUGGGCUAAGGCAAUGCAAAAUCACGGAUAGGUUUUGAUGCAGGUUGUACAUUUCCCUAUACAUGAAAUUGUAUAGACUAAAGGGGGGUGCGCAGUCAUGGGUAUCUUA